UAGCUGUGCCAAAAAUGACAAAAGACUAAGGAAGGGCGUGCAUCUGCCCCUGCUCUCUCCAUCGCCCUUCCUAGUCAUGGCGUGUGGGGCCUGAAGCAACUCCAGACUGAGGACAAGGUGAAGGCUGAUCAUGGCUCAGCCUCACACAGAGGUUUUCUGGGCUGACUUCCCAUUAUCUCCUACCCUCACAUUCAGAAGAGCUCUCUUUCCUCCAAGCUCAGGAAGAAGCUGCUGCCUGCAUGAAGAGUAUUUCAAGAAUAGGAUUUAUGCAUUAGUCUACAUAGUUAGAGAUGUAUAUAUGUUCUGAUCUUUAAAUAUAGUUUUGAAUAAAUGUGUUUUGAUUGUAUCUUUAAA
Molecule: long non-coding RNA, 354 nt
Organism: Passer domesticus (house sparrow)
Lineage: Eukaryota; Metazoa; Chordata; Aves; Passeriformes; Passeridae
Exons: 2
Source: RefSeq, a predicted model, not a curated record